This 501-nucleotide ribosomal RNA is filed under the name uncultured bacterium. RNAcentral describes it as "partial 16S rRNA". The record is from RNAcentral.
GCACGGAGUUAGCCGGAGCUUACAAACAGUACCGUCAUCACCGGUGAUGUUAACACCGGCUUAUUCUUCCCGUUCUUGCGAAGUUUACAUCCCGAGGGAUUUCAUCCUUCACGCGGCGUUGCUGGGUCAGGCUUGCGCCCAUUGCCCAAAAUUCCCGACUGCUGCCUCCCGUAGGAGUCUGACCCGUAUGUCAGUGUCAGUGUGGCCGACCGCCCUCUCAGGCCGGCUACAGAUCAUCGCCUUGGUAAGCCGUUACCUUACCAACUAGCUAAUCUGCCGCAGGCUCCUCUUCAGACGCGAGGUCUUGCGAUCCCCCGCUUUAACAACUGUCACCAUUAGGUGCCGCUGCAUUAUUCGGUAUUAGCCACCGUUUCCGGUGGUUAUUCCCAAUCCAAAGGUAGAUUACCUACGUGUUACUCACCCGUGCGCCACUCUACUUGCCCCCCGAAAGGGGCUUUCGCGUUCGACUUGCAUGUCUGAGGCACGCCGCCAGCGUUGAUU